RNAcentral lists this ribosomal RNA (489 nucleotides) under Anopheles rufipes. RNAcentral describes it as "eukaryotic LSU rRNA". The stretch from base 1 to 98 matches the Rfam family "5.8S ribosomal RNA", at positions 58 to 154 of the family's 154-position model. The record is from RNAcentral. Lineage: Eukaryota; Metazoa; Arthropoda; Insecta; Diptera; Culicidae.
GAAUUUGUGAACUGCAGGACACAUGAACACCGACACGUUGAACGCAUAUUGCGCAUCGGACGUUUAAACCCGACCGAUGCACACAUCCUUGAGUGCCUACCAAGUUAUCUAUGAUGUAAUGACCAAACUGACAGCCUCAUCGCCCCGCGAUGGGAUGUCGUAACGUGGCGUACUCGGACCUACCCCAAAAGGUCCGUGGGCGCUUAAAGUGAGAGUGCUCAUAGAAACAUGGUGUGGUACAGUCGCGCUACGAUAGUGCAAGGAACGAACGGGCGCGCAUCAAGCCGCAUGGUUCGACCCUCGUAUCAACCUGGGAUGAAACACCCGCAGCCUAACAGUAUAACACCGGAAGGCGCUAGCAAAGGUGUCCUGGGUUAGCUUGGGUCGUGUAACGCUUGUGGCUUGUCGCGUACGUUUCGGGUCCGUGCCAAGCGCUUAUGAGUAGGCCUCAAGUGAUGUGUGACAACCCCCUGAAUUUAAGCAUAAAGU